Molecule: long non-coding RNA, 1229 nt
Organism: Hemicordylus capensis (graceful crag lizard)
Lineage: Eukaryota; Metazoa; Chordata; Lepidosauria; Squamata; Cordylidae
Exons: 2
Source: RefSeq, a predicted model, not a curated record
AGACAACUGUGUGAGAGAUUCAUCAAAUGACAGCUGUGGAAGAUUCCUGAAAGAAGUGAAGAGUAACUUCUCCAAGAUGAGAUUUUAUGCAAUGAGUCUGCUUGGAUCACAAUGGAGUACAUGAAGCUGGCAACAACAGGUUAGACUGAAGCCGCCUUCUCUGCUGCAGUGAAGAAUGGCAACGCUUCUGGAACUGUUUAGAAGGGCGAGUGGCGCUAGUCCAUAGUGAGGAACGCUCUGAACAAAGACAGGGCGACUUUCAAAACCCAUUUCCCCCGAGUUUAGUAGCCAGAAGACAACGAAAACGGGAGUGGGGGGAGGCUCUCCAACGGGAGCAGCACGACGAGCGCUUGCGAGGAUUAGGCCCGAAGCCUCCCGUUUCCAUGGAGACGCCCAACCAUCACCACUCCCAACGACCCAAACCGUUUCCCAGCCCAGCCACCUGCUGAACCGAAGAGACCGACACGACGACCCACCCGACGGCACGCAGAUUCCGACCCCACCAAGCCACCUCACCUUUCCACCUCACCCGCGACGAUCCACAUCCCUCAAAAACAAAAAAGGACCCCUUUUUCCUUCCGCGUGACAACCUAGCCCCCUUUCUCUCUGCAACGCCUUCCAAUGAGUGAAAAAGCAACCAACCAAUCAACACGGAGCUCUUCUUUACGGACGUAAACUUGAAAGAAUGAGAGGCGGGGAGCGGUCGGCUAGGAGGCGGGCCUUUACGCGUCCUCCUUCACAAGUUCGGUUGCGCCGCGCGCUCUUCCCUACUUGAAAGUUGGCGCGGGCCGCGGCGGGAAGGGGGAUCUUCUCCGCGAUUGGUUGGAGCCGAUAGCCAAUCAGAGGGGCAGGGGGCGGGCAAACAGCUAGGUGUUGGAUACUUGUCUUAGGUGCGGUAAAAGGGAGUUUUAACGAUCUCUCGGUUGAAUAGAAGUGGGUGGCAGGAUCACCUCUCAGAUGGUACUUGUUAUUUGCAAAGAAAACUGAGUGUCGCAUAAGAGUUAGAACUGUUAUUUGCCAUUAUUCCCGCACGUCAGAGCAAGUGCAUUUUGCAAGAGAGGAGGAAUUGUCUCCUUUCUGCUGAAUUCCUUCUGUCUGGAGUAAGAUCUCUUUAAAACCAGCCUUCGUUGGUGCAUAAUUUGAUUUGAUACCGAAAAUGUAUUCAUGCUUAACUGCAGCGUUCAGUCAACUAUUCAGUAAGACUACAUUAAAAAAAAUGUCUUGAUCAA